AGUUUUGUCGCCGACGUCGCGCCGCGAGGCCGUUCGAGCUUGUGUUUGACGCCGGGGUAGCGCGUGGAGGCCGGGCGAGCAGGGAUUUUCACCGUUCUUGCUGUCACUCUGGUGCUCGGCGUUGUCGAGGUGGGUAUUUCAGUUUUUCUUGAUUUUUGGGCAAGUGUUUACUACUUCUACUUGGAUAGUUGUUGUUUGUUGAAAUCCACCGUUGACUGUUAGU
RNAcentral lists this long non-coding RNA (223 nucleotides) under Ananas comosus (pineapple). RNAcentral's name for it is "long non-coding RNA (ACOM_LNC037989)". The record is from RNAcentral. Lineage: Eukaryota; Viridiplantae; Streptophyta; Magnoliopsida; Poales; Bromeliaceae.